GUCAGGUUCCGAUGUGACUCAGCACAGUGCUCACAGUCCAUGCUGUCAAGAAUCUCAGCUUAGGAGGAAGCAAAGAGCCACUCUACAGUAAGGUAAAUAAGUCAUUUAGUCUCUGCACAUUUACCUCUGUAUUUAUCAAGUAUUUGUCGAAGGAAGGAAGGAAGUGAAUAAAGGAGGUGAGGAAGAAGAAGUUUCCUGGGAGAAAGCACUCGAGGAGCAAUAGGUGUCCUCUUUCAUUUCCACUAAAUAUGCUGCUCAAUGCCUUGUGGCAUAACAGAAUUAAAACUUUUCAGAUGCCCUGCCACUUUAACAAGACCAGGACGUCAAAAUGGCUCCCACAGAACUAUCAUUUGAUCUUAUCUUUCGCUCUCACACACAUCGACCUGCAUUUUCUUUUUGAUUCUUUAUGUCUGCAAAUAAACUGAUGUAAUUAAAAAGGUGAAGAAAGAA
Molecule: long non-coding RNA, 450 nt
Filed under: Pongo abelii (Sumatran orangutan)
Lineage: Eukaryota; Metazoa; Chordata; Mammalia; Primates; Hominidae
Description: lincRNA
Source: RNAcentral